CGCGUAGGCGGGAUGGUCCGUCCGCUGUGAAAGUGCUACCGCUCAACGGAGCAAUGUCAGCGGAUACCACCAUUCUUGAGUCCGGGAGAGGUGAGUGGAAUUGCUGGUGUAGCGGUGGAAUGUACAGAUAUCAGCAAGAACACCGGUGGCGAAGGCGGCUCACUGGCCCGGUUCUGACGCUGAAGCGCGAAAGCGUGGGGAGCAAACG
Molecule: ribosomal RNA, 208 nt
Filed under: uncultured bacterium
Lineage: Bacteria
Description: partial 16S ribosomal RNA
Rfam family: Bacterial small subunit ribosomal RNA
Source: RNAcentral